Molecule: ribosomal RNA, 368 nt
Filed under: uncultured organism
Description: bacterial SSU rRNA
Rfam family: Bacterial small subunit ribosomal RNA
Source: RNAcentral
CGGAGGGUGCAAGCGUUAUCCGGAUUCACUGGGUUUAAAGGGUGCGUAGGUGGGUUGGUAAGUCAGUGGUGAAAUCUCCGAGCUUAACUUGGAAACUGCCGUUGAUACUAUCAAUCUUGAAUAUCGCGUAGGUAAGCGGAAUAUGUCAUGUAGCGGUGAAAUGCUUAGAUAUGACAUAGAACACCAAUUGCGAAGGCAGCUUACUUCACGAUCAUUGACACUGAGGCACGAAAGCGUGGGGAGCAAACAGGAUUAGAUACCCUGGUAGUCCACGCCCUAAACGAUGAUUACUCGACAUACGCGAUACACUGUGUGUGUCUGAGCGAAAGCAUUAAGUAAUCCACCUGGGAAGUACGACCGCAAGGUUG